Rosa rugosa (rugosa rose) is the source of this 1755-nucleotide long non-coding RNA. RefSeq lists it as uncharacterized. The transcript is spliced from 2 exons. The record is from RefSeq and is a predicted model, not a curated record. Lineage: Eukaryota; Viridiplantae; Streptophyta; Magnoliopsida; Rosales; Rosaceae.
UCAAAUUGGACGUUAAGUCCGACAAUGAGGCCCACUUUAAGGGCUAAAAUGGUCAUUUUAAUACCAAAAAAAAAAAAAAAAACUCGACCAAAAGAAAGAAAGAAAUUUUCUGCUUCUUCCUCCUUUCCUCUCCCUAACGAUCUGAAACUCAUCAAUCUAGCCUUCCUCUUCUCAUCUUCAUCGUUCAAACCACUCUCCACCUCUUAUGCCCUUGAGGGAAUGGGAUGUCGGGGUACAUACUCGCCGUACUUGAUUCCGACCUUGUUGGGGCCGGUUCUCGGCCAAGAAGAGCAUGCGAAUGUUGAGGGAGAGAGAGGCGGAAGUGUCGGGUUCGAUUCACAGUUCAGAUUGGGUGAGUUGAUGCCCAUUUACUGGAUGACGAAUUGGUGGAAUUAGAGAAGCAAUUCGAGUCGGCACAGCAAGCGAAAUCGAGCAUCAGAUUGUCCGAUCGAAACAUCGUCGAAUUGGUCCAAAAGCUUCACGAGCUCUACAUGGUGGCGAAGGAUGAGGGCGGCGAUGACCGAUUGCGUUCUCAUCUUCGGUUCGGAUCUGUUCGUGACCAAAUUGGAAAUCGAAGGUGACGACGGCGACGGCGAUGAUAUCGGGGUCAAAUUCCAAUUCGGGGUGGAGUCAAAUUCUCAGGGCUCCGGCUCUGAAUUCGGUGACUUUCUGGCUCCACAAGGGCUUCAGGUUGUUGGGUUGGAGUCCGAUUCGGAUUCGGAUAAUGAUGAAUUCGAAAGCGGAGGAAGAAGAGUGGCGGAGGUUACCAGGAGGAUGAGGAGGUUCUUAGCGACGACGCCGGCAAGCUCAAUUUCCCGCCUGACUUCAAGCUCUUAAUCAGAAACCUUCCCUUCACUGUCGACAGUGCUCAGCUAACUGAGCUCUUCGAAGGUGCUACAAAUGUUGAGAUGGUUGAGGUGAUAUAUGACAAGACGACUGGGAGAAGCAGGAGAUUCGGGUUUGUGACCAUGUCGAGUGCUCAGGAAGUAGAAGCAACUGCUCGACAGUUCAAUGGCUAUGUGAGUCACCAUUUUGUGUCUACGAUUUGUGUGUGUAUAUGCGAGAAGGUGAAACAAAUUUUUUGAGAUUUGAGAAAGUUGCAUUGGUGUUUGAGACUUGUUCAAGAUCUGUUAAUCAGAAAAGUUGGUGUUGAUGAGUUGGAGAUGAUGGUAAUGGGUUUCCUAGGGUCGGAUUUUGGGAGGUAGAGGAGCUGAGGGGAAGAAGAAGAACAAGAAUGAUUUUUUUUUUUUGUCUUGAAAUGACCCUUUUAGCCCUUAAAGUGGGCCCUAUUGUCGGACUUAACGUCCAAUUUGGACGGAGAAUGAGACAUUGGACACGGUUGAGGAAAAUUGAAAAGCUCGGGGGAUAAAAAUUUAAAAUUAAGAGUAUCGGGGGUGACAUGAUGACACCCCCAAACCCAGUGGCGGAUCCAGAAAUUUUUUUCAAGUAAGGCAAGACAAUGGCAGGUUGAAGGAAAAGGGGAAGGGAGGAAAAUUAGAGGGAAGCUAUAGAUUUUGGAGGCAAUUGUGAAAAGUUUGCCCAGAUUUUGCCUGGUUUUGCCCUAUUUCUGCCAUUUUCUUCAACAAUUCACUUGAUUUUGCCCUAUUUCUGUCAAUUUCACAUACCUUGCUUAUACCAAACUUGUAUAGACUCAAAAAUCCAGUCUAGGAAAGUGCCUAAGCUGGCCUCUAUGUGGAUCCGCCGGUGCCCAAACCUCAGAGGAGUAAAUUGAAAUUAAUCCUAUUUAUAAACACA